GACCCACAAGAGGAGGCUGUCGAAAGAGCAACAGGAGGCUGGAAGCGAGCCGUAGUGAAGCAAGGCUUCGAUAGUGGCACAGAGACGUUAGUGUUCGCCACCGGCUCAUGAGAAGAUAGUUGAAGUCCGCCGGCUGAUAGGGAGAAGUCGUCGCAUGCCACGUCCUUGACCUUCUUCAAAGCAAAUCACUGGCUUGCAGCAAUUUGAAAU
This 210-nucleotide long non-coding RNA is filed under the name Musa acuminata (dwarf banana). Its description in RNAcentral is "long non-coding RNA (MACU_LNC005392)". The record is from RNAcentral. Lineage: Eukaryota; Viridiplantae; Streptophyta; Magnoliopsida; Zingiberales; Musaceae.